RNAcentral lists this long non-coding RNA (1450 nucleotides) under Marmota monax (woodchuck). The stretch from base 570 to 638 matches the Rfam family "tRNA". Lineage: Eukaryota; Metazoa; Chordata; Mammalia; Rodentia; Sciuridae. The record is from RNAcentral.
UUUCACUUUUUUGAUAGUCCAUUGGUUUGCUAAUAAUUUUUAGAAGUCUGGAUAUUUCCAUAUAAAUAAUGAUUUUAAGAAUAUAAAUAAAACAACUUAUGUACAGCUGAAGUAUCUGUAGUUCACACAGACAUUUAUUAUUUACUUCUUCCUACUCAAUAGCAUAUUGAUCCAAUCUCGAUUCUUUAGCAAAGAAUGCUUGUUGUAGUAUUCACGGAAUGUCUUAAUAUCAACAGAAUUCUAAAAAUAUUUAUUGCUUGAAUUUUAUUAAACAAAGUUCCUUUGAAAAUCAUGAAAUUUAAAGAUUAUGUGUACCUAAGUCAUAGUCAUUUUGAUACAUGUGUUCAUACUUUGGUCAAAUUUUAAGCUCAUCCCUCAUUUUUUUUACAGUGUACAUUAAUAUAGUAAGUAUAAAUACUAAAAAUUGUCGGUUUAAGAAAUUAAAAAACAUGGUUUUUAUUGUAUCUCUCCUACUAAUAAUAUUUAAAAGAUAUAAACAAAAUCGAUCCACUGAUGAUUGUGCAACAAAUAGACAAUAUGUGUCUUUUUUUUGUUAAGAGUCUUGGGUUGGGGUUAUAGCUCAGUGGUAGAGCACUUGCCUAGGACGUGUGAGACCCUGGAUUCGAUUCUCAGUACCACAUAUAAGUAAAUAAAAUAAAGGUCCAUUGACAACUAAAAAAAAAAAGAGUCUUGAUGAGCAAUUUAAUUUUUUCAGUUUGGUAUCUAAGAUAGUAAGUACCUCAUCAGAGGUAAGGAGGUACUUUCAUUUACAUAUUAAUGUAAAAUUUACUUGUCAUUUAAAAUUGUUUGCAUUGGAAAGUUAUUUUAGAUAAUAUAUAUUAAUGUAGUCAAUAUAUGUGAGAUAGCAUACAACUGGCCAUGUUCAAUAUUCCACAUGAAAGUUAUAGUUUGAACAUACCAAUGUCAUAUUAGUGUAUUGUUCUUCUUGAAUUAAACCAGUUCAUUUUUUUCUAGGGCCUAUUGGAUAUAGGAGAGUUCUGCUCUGCAGUAUCAUUUGUUAAAAGUGAUAGAAUAUUUUUGGCAUUCAAGUUUUUUUAAAAAACAUAUAUUCCACAAGUAAACUUUCCCAUAGGUUAAUGAAAUCUUUCCUUAUAUCUAUUUUGACUUUGAGGCUGAUAAUCACACUUAAAAAAACUUAGGAAUACUGUAAGAAAGCUUGCACAGCAUAUAAAAUAUAUGGAGAUUUAAAAAGUUAUUUAAAUAGUAUACCAGUGUUUGUUGUAUAAUAGAGAACUUCAAAUUCAUACUGAAGAAUGAAAAAUAGCAUUAUAACUUGAGUGGACAAAAGGAAAAAUCUAUACUUGGGAAACAUGAGUGGCAAAAUAUUGACAACAUGUCUGACAAUAUUAGUGACCUAUUGAUUUUUGUUGUCUUUAAUAUUUGCUGUUAGAGGAAAACAAUAAUAUUCCAGAGACUAAAUACAUUUAAU